CCUGGCUCAGAACGAACGCUGGCGGCAGGCUUAACACAUGCAAGUCGAGCGCCCCGCAAGGGGAGCGGCAGACGGGUGAGUAACGCGUGGGAAUCUACCCUUGACUACGGAAUAACGCAGGGAAACUUGUGCUAAUACCGUAUGUGUCCUUCGGGAGAAAGAUUUAUCGGUCAAGGAUGAGCCCGCGUUGGAUUAGCUAGUUGGUGGGGUAAAGGCCUACCAAGGCGACGAUCCAUAGCUGGUCUGAGAGGAUGAUCAGCCACAUUGGGACUGAGACACGGCCCAAACUCCUACGGGAGGCAGCAGUGGGGAAUAUUGGACAAUGGGCGCAAGCCUGAUCCAGCCAUGCCGCGUGAGUGAUGAAGGCCCUAGGGUUGUAAAGCUCUUUCACCGGAGAAGAUAAUGAC
RNAcentral lists this ribosomal RNA (407 nucleotides) under Rhizobium leguminosarum. RNAcentral's name for it is "bacterial SSU rRNA". It matches the Rfam family "Bacterial small subunit ribosomal RNA", at positions 18 to 455 of the family's 1533-position model. Lineage: Bacteria; Pseudomonadati; Pseudomonadota; Alphaproteobacteria; Hyphomicrobiales; Rhizobiaceae. The record is from RNAcentral.